RNA transcript from Vespula vulgaris, 1380 nucleotides. It is a transcript of the gene named coiled-coil-helix-coiled-coil-helix domain-containing protein 10, mitochondrial-like, with no coding region annotated. The transcript has 4 exons. The record is from RefSeq and is a predicted model, not a curated record. NCBI's taxonomy places the organism in Eukaryota, Metazoa, Arthropoda, Insecta, Hymenoptera, Vespidae.
CCUUUUUUUUCCAUGUACGUCUACAACUUCACUAUAAUUAAAUUCUCCGUAAAUAAAUAUAUGUUCUCUUAUUUUGUUAAAAUGUAAUUCUUUUUCCCGAUCUCCAUGUAAAUUUGAUUUCUUACAUUUUCAUAAUAAUACUGUUGUAAUCAAAUCGAAAUAAUAUUACUACAAGUUACGAAAUUAAGAAAGAAAAAAAAAAUAAUAAUAAUAAUAAUAUGCCUGGACGUCAGAAAACAGGAACGAAAAAUGGAAAAAUGGGAAGAAGUCGACCAUCGUCACCAUCAGGAGCACACCCGCCACCGUCUCGUCAACAACGGGGGUAUACUACAACUACACAAGAUCGUAAAACAAAUCCUAUAAACCCUAAAAGUUCGACUGGUAAUUUUCAAAAUAUAGCUAGUACUGCUGCAGGAGUAGCUGCUGGUUCUGUAGUAGGUCAUGUUAUUGGAAAUGUAUUAUCUAGUGGUAUAGGACAUGGAAAUUCUGUGAAUGCAGGAUCGUCUUCCGAUUAUUCAAACGUAAUCGAAGAGAUAUGCUCGCCAGAAAUUCGACAAUUUUUUGAGUGUGCUUCAAAGAACGAAGACCUUGAUACUUGUAAAAGCUUUCACAACACUUGGUUUGAGUGUCAAAAAAGAUACAGUCAACAUCGUUCGCAAGCUUAACAUUAAAAUAUUUCGUAAGAUGCUUCAAUGACAUACCAAGAAGAGUUGAUAAUAAUUUAGAUCUGCCAUUUAAAGGACACGCAUCACCAUGAAGCCAGCAACUGUGGCUGCUGCGAUCCCUAAACCAGCCUUCCACCAGACUACAGAGUCUUGUUGUAUCAGGCCAAAUUGGUUUAAAUGUCUGUAAUGUAGAAGAUACAGAAUUUAUAAGAACAUUAGAAAAGAAUAAGAAUACUAAUGCCUUAGUAUAAAACAACCCUCACCACAUUCCGAUAUUUCAAACGUUGAAGAUAUGACAUUUGAAUGAUAAAUUUUGUUGCAUGUACAUCUACUACAUUCAUGAUUUAAUCUAUCUAUCCAUCGAAUAUAAACAAACAUACAUACAAAUAUAUAAAUGUAGUAAUAUAAUUUUUGAGUUAUUUUUAAAAGUUUUUUUUUAAUUAGAAUGAUAAGAAAAUAGAAAUUUUAUUUAAAUAUAUGUCUAUAAAAUAAGCAGAAAACUUGAUAAGAUUUAUAUAAAAAUGAUUAGAUUUACCGCUGAAAUUUAUUAAACUGAUAUGAGAAAGUGAUUAAUUAAGCUAGAUAUCAAACACGAUUAAAAGAGCGUGUUGCAUAUUUUUAGUUAUAUUAGACAUAUAAAAUAUUAUUUUUCUCUGCACUAGAGAGAAUAUAGCAAAAAAAAAAAGAAACAAAUUUAAUUAUGAGAUUGAUGAAU